CAGAAUUCUAACGGGUGGGGGCAGACUGGCUUGCCAAGAUGGAGACCACGACUGGGAUGGGGUGCAGGGCUGAGGAUCCAUGUGCUCCUGAUUGCAUCUUCUGUCAUUGUUCAGCUCUGCAGUUACUUUGGAAUGGCUUCUUUCUCACGUAACCUGUUUGCAUGGUGGCCCAAAAGGCUAUUAGCAGCUCUGAGACUUUGCUUUUACAAUAUUAGCUUGAUGCAAAAGUAAUUGCGGUCUUUGCACUGUUAAAACUUGCCAUUUGAUAUUGGAACACAUUCUGAAUAAAUGUGG
Molecule: long non-coding RNA, 294 nt
Filed under: Capra hircus (goat)
Lineage: Eukaryota; Metazoa; Chordata; Mammalia; Artiodactyla; Bovidae
Description: lncRNA (ENSCHIG00000004477.1)
Source: RNAcentral